Molecule: ribosomal RNA, 274 nt
Filed under: uncultured Glissomonadida
Lineage: Eukaryota; Cercozoa; Glissomonadida
Description: partial 18S ribosomal RNA
Rfam family: Eukaryotic small subunit ribosomal RNA (bases 108-274)
Source: RNAcentral
GAUUUCUGGCGAACCGUUGCGGCCCGUGCUCGUUUCGGGCGUGUGUGCCUGUCGUGUUUGUCAUCCUUCCAGAGAGCUGCGUCUACCCUUCACUUGGCCGGACGUACGUGAUCUGGAUCGAUUACUUUGAAAAAAUUAGAGUGUUUAAAAGGCUUACGCUGUGAAUACAUUAGCAUGGAAUAAUAAUUUAGGACUUCGGUUCUAUUUUGUUGGUAUUCCGCGGCCAGAGGUGAAAUUCUUGGAUUCGCGGAAGACUAACUACUGCGAAAGCAUU